Molecule: small nucleolar RNA, 119 nt
Filed under: Carlito syrichta (Philippine tarsier)
Lineage: Eukaryota; Metazoa; Chordata; Mammalia; Primates; Tarsiidae
Source: RNAcentral
AAAACGAUCUAUUCCUGUUGCCUACACAUCGUUGGAAGUGUCCCAUAGAGUAACUUUGUGGUUUUGCUUUACUUACAGGACUAUUUUUUAGACCUGUAAGAGGGAACUACAAGGCAGAG